AGUGAACGCUGGCGGUAGGCCUAACACAUGCAAGUCGAACGGCAGCACAGUAAGAGCUUGCUCUUACGGGUGGCGAGUGGCGGACGGGUGAGGAAUACAUCGGAAUCUACUUUUUCGUGGGGGAUAACGUAGGGAAACUUACGCUAAUACCGCAUACGACCUACGGGUGAAAGCAGGGGAUCUUCGGACCUUGCGCGAUUGAAUGAGCCGAUGUCGGAUUAGCUAGUUGGCGGGGUAAAGGCCCACCAAGGCGACGAUCCGUAGCUGGUCUGAGAGGAUGAUCAGCCACACUGGAACUGAGACACGGUCCAGACUCCUACGGGAGGCAGCAGUGGGGAAUAUUGGACAAUGGGCGCAAGCCUGAUCCAGCCAUACCGCGUGGGUGAAGAAGGCCUGCGGGUUGUAAAGCCCUUUUGUUGGGAAAGAAAAGCAGCAGGUUAAGACCCCGCUGUUCUGACGGUACCCAAGAAUAAGCACCGGCUAACUUCGUG
RNAcentral lists this ribosomal RNA (491 nucleotides) under uncultured bacterium. RNAcentral's name for it is "partial 16S ribosomal RNA". It matches the Rfam family "Bacterial small subunit ribosomal RNA", at positions 29 to 507 of the family's 1533-position model. The record is from RNAcentral.